UUCACCAGUUUCUCUGCACGAAUACCGAGAGAAACCGAGCGGCGUUCUUCGUGUUCUUCAUAAUCAAACGUGGAUUUGAAGGCGUUAUUGGAGUCAGAAUCAAGCGUGCGAAUAGUCAAAUCGAAGAUAUCGAAGAGUAGAAUCUAUAUCUGCAAUCAAAAACAACCUGAGAUUCACAGGAUUGGACGAGACGUGGAUGACCGAAGACGUUCAGAAGGACAAGUGGUGUUCCAAAGCGAAUAAAGAAUGAGUCGAGUAAGCGAAGUGCUGUGGCGAAUAGAGUAUAGCUAGAGAUGGUCUAGAGAUUAUAAGAUGCAUAUAUUGUGAAAGUGGAAAGUUGAGAAUGAGCUGUGAGACGGGAGUCAGAUUUAAGGCAAGUAUCCUAUACCCUUCUUUUGGAUAUCUUGCGAUUAUUCUGAUCCAUUAUUCUCGUAUGUGUUGCAAAUAUUCGUUCCUCUCUUUUUCAUAUUUGGCAAGUGCAAAUAUUUUUAUCCAUCCUUUUCUAAUCCUCAAAAAUUCAGAUAAUUCCAGUUUUACAAAUUAAUUCGAAGUUCAGAUUGUCAUUGAAGCAUGUGUUGCUCAGUGAUGAUUAGAACCUAGAAUGACUUGGGAUCUUCUUGAUUAUUCAACCCGCCAUUGUCAUGCUGGUUUAGCAGGCUAAAUUCAGUUGCUUAGCCGAUAAUGGAGGAUACUGAAUAGUUAAGGAUUUCCUGGAUUAUGAUUUAUGGAAGGAUGGACUCUGGUUUAUGAAAAGUUGAUUAUCAAAUGUUUGAUUUGGAAUUAUUUUAUCAUGGAUAUUGAUUGUGGUUAUGUUCUGUUGUUAUACGUUGACCUGUUAUUGAAUUAUAGAAUUGGAUUAUUGUUUUUAUAUAAACCUGUGGACCAGAUUCGUGGUCAUGUUAGGCCAAUGAGUGCCUUGGAUCCAGUGAUAGAGCAUGGCGGGGCCUGCUCGGGGUUAGUGCGGAACUGAUCAGCUGCCUAACCUUGGUUUUAAUUAAAAUGUAAUAGUCCAAUUCAAUAAUUCUUUGGAAAGAUUGAAUUUCUCAGUUUAAAUGAUGCAAGGUAUUGUAAAUCAUUCUAUACAAUACCAUGAACUCAUGAACUCAGGUUGAAUUCUCUUAUAUCUUGAACUCGUGAACUUCUGUUAUAUCAUUUCAGAACUAUCAUUGUUUAUUAUUACUUGCUGAGCAUUGUUGCUCACCCUUGCUAUUCCUUUCUAACCAUUUCAGAAAGGCUGAAAGAUAAGAUGAUUGAUUGAGAUUGUGGAUAAGGCUAAUGCUAGGCGAGGAGACAGAGUUGAGGAUCCAGUGGUCGAGGAGUAUUCAGGAAAGUUGAUAAGGUUGGUGCUAGCUAGAGUUAUGCUAUGAAGUUUCAGAUGUAAGUCAUGGCUGGAGUAAGUUGACAGUGAUUCUUCUUAUCGAAGAUGAUCUGAUUUGGUAAGGGAUGUUGUGUAGUAUUAGUGGUGGAUUCUAAUUUCAAUACUGUAACCUGGAAGCGAUCCUGUUGUUUUUGGGGGUUAAAAUGUUCUCUUUCGAAUCAGCUAUUAAAGUUUAAAUGUUCUCUGAAAAGUUCUUUUA
This is a long non-coding RNA of Daucus carota subsp. sativus, 1577 nucleotides long. RefSeq lists it as uncharacterized. The transcript has 2 exons. The record is from RefSeq and is a predicted model, not a curated record. NCBI's taxonomy places the organism in Eukaryota, Viridiplantae, Streptophyta, Magnoliopsida, Apiales, Apiaceae.